UGCCGCGUGCAGGAAGACUGCCUUAUGGGUUGUAAACUGCUUUUAUACAGGAAGAAACAUCCCGACGUGUCGGGACUUGACGGUACUGUAAGAAUAAGGAUCGGCUAACUCCGUGCCAGCAGCCGCGGUAAUACGGAGGAUCCAAGCGUUAUCCGGAAUCAUUGGGUUUAAAGGGUCCGUAGGCGGGCUUGUAAGUCAGUGGUGAAAGUCUGUGGCUCAACCAUAGAAUUGCCAUUGAUACUGCUAGUCUUGAAUUAUUAUGAAGUGGUUAGAAUAUGUAGUGUAGCGGUGAAAUGCUUAGAUAUUACAUGGAAUACCAAUUGCGAAGGCAGAUCACUAAUAAUAUAUUGACGCUGAGGGACGAAAGCGUGGGUAGCGAACAGGAUUAGAUACCCUGGUAGUCCACGCCGUAAACGAUGGAUACUAGCUGUUGGGCUUCGGCUCAGUGGCUAAGCGAAAGUGAUAAGUAUCCCACCUGGGGAGUACGUUCGCAAGAAUGAAACUCAAAGGAAUUGACGGGGGCCCGCACAAGCGGUGGAGCAUGUGGUUUAAUUCGAUGAUACGCGAGGAACCUUACCAGGGCUUAAAUGUAGUUUGACCGAUUUGGAAACAGAUCUUUC
This 620-nucleotide ribosomal RNA is filed under the name uncultured bacterium. RNAcentral describes it as "bacterial SSU rRNA". It matches the Rfam family "Bacterial small subunit ribosomal RNA", at positions 395 to 1016 of the family's 1533-position model. The record is from RNAcentral.